This 783-nucleotide ribosomal RNA is filed under the name Anaerotignum lactatifermentans. Its description in RNAcentral is "bacterial SSU rRNA". It matches the Rfam family "Bacterial small subunit ribosomal RNA", at positions 195 to 996 of the family's 1533-position model. Lineage: Bacteria; Bacillati; Bacillota; Clostridia; Lachnospirales; Anaerotignaceae. The record is from RNAcentral.
UGAGGAAGAAAGGAUUUAUUCGGUACAGGAUGGGCCCGCAUCUGAUUAGCUAGUUGGUGAGAUAACAGCCCACCAAGGCGACGAUCAGUAGCCGACCUGAGAGGGUGAUCGGCCACAUUGGGACUGAGACACGGCCCAAACUCCUACGGGAGGCAGCAGUGGGGAAUAUUGCACAAUGGGGGAAACCCUGAUGCAGCAACGCCGCGUGAAGGAAGAAGGUUUUCGGAUCGUAAACUUCUAUCAAUAGGGAAGAAAUCAAUGACGGUACCUAAAUAAGAAGCCCCGGCUAACUACGUGCCAGCAGCCGCGGUAAUACGUAGGGGGCAAGCGUUAUCCGGAAUUACUGGGUGUAAAGGGAGCGUAGGCGGCAUGGUAAGCCAGAUGUGAAAGCCUUGGGCUUAACCCGAGGAUUGCAUUUGGAACUAUCAAGCUAGAGUACAGGAGAGGAAAGCGGAAUUCCUAGUGUAGCGGUGAAAUGCGUAGAUAUUAGGAAGAACACCAGUGGCGAAGGCGGCUUUCUGGACUGAAACUGACGCUGAGGCUCGAAAGCGUGGGGAGCGAACAGGAUUAGAUACCCUGGUAGUCCACGCCGUAAACGAUGAGUGCUAGGUGUUGGGGAGGAAUCCUCGGUGCCGCAGUUAACACAAUAAGCACUCCACCUGGGGAGUACGACCGCAAGGUUGAAACUCAAAGGAAUUGACGGGGGCCCGCACAAGCGGUGGAGCAUGUGGUUUAAUUCGAAGCAACGCGAAGAACCUUACCAAGGCUUGACAUCCCGAUGAC